Molecule: ribosomal RNA, 265 nt
Filed under: uncultured bacterium
Lineage: Bacteria
Description: partial 16S ribosomal RNA
Rfam family: Bacterial small subunit ribosomal RNA
Source: RNAcentral
GUCCACGCUGUAAACGAUGAGCACUAGGUGUCGUGGGUAUUGACCCCCGCGGUGCCGCAGCUAACGCAUUAAGUGCUCCGCCUGGGGACUACGGCCGCAAGGUUAAAACUCAAAGGAAUUGACGGGGGCCCGCACAAGCGGUGGAGCAUGUGGUUCAAUUCGACGCAACGCGAAGAACCUUACCUGGGCUAGACAACGGAGGACAGCUCCAGAGAUGGGGUCUUCCCUUCGGGGACCUCCGGUUCAGGUGCUGCAUGGCUGUCGU